This 253-nucleotide ribosomal RNA is filed under the name uncultured bacterium. RNAcentral's name for it is "partial 16S ribosomal RNA". It matches the Rfam family "Bacterial small subunit ribosomal RNA", at positions 524 to 776 of the family's 1533-position model. The record is from RNAcentral.
UACGUAGGGAGCAAGCGUUGUUCGGAUUUACUGGGCGUAAAGGGCGCGUAGGCGGCAAUUCAAGUCAGCUGUGAAAUCUCCGGGCUUAACUCGGAACGGUCAGCUGAUACUGCUUUGCUAGAGUGCGGAAGGGGCAAUCGGAAUUCUCGGUGUAGUGGUGAUAUGCGUAGAUAUCGGGAGGAACACCUGUGGCGAAGGCGGCUUUCUGGGCCUUACCUGACGCUGAGACGCGAAAGCGUGGGGAGCGAACCGG